GGAUCUCAUUUCUUGGAAUAAUUUGCCUACUCAUUUUCAUUUCUCUGCUAAUCAGUUACACCAGGGUAAACUGGGAUAUGUCUUGUUUUGUAUCAGAGCAGGUGGAAGUAGUUUGGCCUGAAAGUAUUUAAAAUACAAAAGCUACAAUUAAAGGGCAGAAGGCAGUGAUGAAGUAAUGCUUUGUCUUGGACACUGAUAGAGGGGAAAAAACCAUAUGGAGAGACAUUACAGAAGAUUACUACAUAGUGAAUUAUUUAUAGAGAGAAAAGGAGAUACUAGAAAGUAGUAAUUUUUCAGCCCUGUGAUGGGGUUUAUUGAGUUACAGUGUUGGGGGGGCAAUUAGGAAGGUUUUGGUGGAACAAUGUAGGUAUUAUGGGACUGGGAGUUGGGGUCUGAUUCUGCUAUUAAAAUGAGGUCUCUUCCAGUAUUUGAAGCUGUUUUUCCUUGUUCUGAGGUGCGAGAAAGCUCUGCAGAAUUUACCAAAGAAUGAAUGAAAUAACCUUGAAGUACUUGGUUUUUAAUGGAGAAGCAAACCUUCUCCAGCUUGGUUUUUAACUUGCUCUGGUUUUGUUAUUGUUAAUACAGUCCACACAUUCCUAAGGCAGUGAUCUCCUGCAUGUACGUGUUUCUGUUUUGGAAAGGGAAAAGGGGAGAGGAGGUGUGCUUUUGUUCCUUGUUUUUGUUUUGUUUGCUGUUGGGUAGCUGAAAAAUAAAUGCUUGUUGAUAGUUAUAGCAUAGUCCCUUGGGCAUUCUAAAGGUAUUAUUCUAUAUUAGUACUGCCCUUCAGCACAGCAUUUGAAUUCCCCAUCUGCUCCCACUCUCCCACACAGACAUGUGCUGCCUUUGUCUCUUCACAUCCAAACAGGAAUUAAAGAACCUGGAAGAGGAAAGGGAGCUCACUGUCUUCAAGAAGAGAUUGCUGCUCUACCACCACCACUUUUGUUAGUUUACUGAAACCCUAGAAAGCCAACAAAGCUCUGAAUUUCCAAUAUAAUGUCAAAACCUCCUUCUUGGGUUUUAUCUCCUUCCUACAAUUGAAAAGCAGCUUUUGUUUAACAUGUUUAGAUCUUUUCACACUAAGAUUAUGAAGCCUAAUUUGAGCCUGUUAAUCUUUUUCUUGGUAAUCCGUAGAAAAGCACAGCUGCGCUACUAAAAACGUACUGUUUAUCCAUGAUCACUGAGUCUGGGCAGCCUGCAGCGUUCCAAAGAUCAAAGUUUCAAACAGACAUGCCAGUCCUUCAGAAUUCCUUGGAUUUAAACACACGGUACCACAAAAUCCAUACUUGCAGCUGAGAAAUACUUGUGCUGAGCUCCAGCCUGCGUGCAUGUGAGUGUGCAGCCUUCCUCUACUGUAGCUUUAACAAAGAUUGUGUUAAAAAUGCACAGCAAGAAGCAGACUCCAGAAAAAUACUAUGUUGGAAUUGAUGUUGGUUCAGCAAGUGUUCGUGCAGCUUUGGUAGAUGGGUUUGGGACAGUGGUGGCACAUGCAGAGCAGCCAAUCCAAAUCUGGGAGCCCCAACCAGACCACUAUGAGCAAUCCACUGGAGACAUCUGGGCUGCUUGUUGCUCAGUCACAAAGAAAGUUGUCUCUGGAGUAGAUACUAGCCACAUUCGAGGGGUUGGGUUUGAUGCUACAUGUUCCCUUGUUGUUGUGGAUAAACAAUUCCAACCUUUGGCAGUCAACCGGGAAGGACAAAACUAUAGGAAUGUCAUUAUGUGGAUGGACCAUCGUGCAGUCAGUCAAGUUGAGCGCAUCAAUGCAACGCAACACAGGGUUUUGAGCUAUGUAGGGGGAGUGAUGUCUGUGGAAAUGCAGCCACCUAAAUUGCUGUGGAUAAAGGAGAACCUGAGAGAAUCAUGCUGGGAGAAGGCAGGCCACUUCUUUGAUCUUCCGGAUUUCUUAUCUUGGAAGGCCACAGGUGUCACUGCAAGGUCCCUCUGUACAGUAGUGUGCAAGUGGACAUAUACCUCUGAUAGAGGUUGGGAUGACAGUUUCUGGAAAAUGAUUGGUUUGGAAGAUUUGGUGGAGGAUAAGUAUGAAAAAAUAGGAAACCACGUCUUGUCUCCUGGAGAGUCUGUUGGAAAAGGUCUAACGCCAGAAGCUGCAAAAGAUCUCAGUCUCCCUGAAGGGAUUGCAGUAGCAGCAUCUCUCAUUGAUGCCCAUGCUGGAGGACUAGGAGUAAUUGGAGCAGAUGUGAAAGGACAUAACCUGCCAUGUGAGAACCAGCCAAUUACAUCCCGAGUUGCUAUGAUCUGUGGAACAUCUUCAUGCCACAUGGGGAUCAGUGAAGCACCCAUUUUUGUGCCUGGUGUCUGGGGCCCUUAUUUCUCUGCAAUGGUACCUGGACUGUGGUUGAAUGAGGGAGGUCAAAGUGCUACAGGAAAGCUGAUAGAUCAUGUGGUCCGAGGCCAUGUCGCCUUCCCGGAAUUACAGGCAAAAGCUGCAGCCAGCGCUCAGAGUAUAUAUACAUACUUGAACAGUCACCUGGAUCUGAUUAAGAAAUCUCUGCCUGUGGGUUUCCUCACUGUUGAUUUACAUGUUUGGCCAGAUUUCCAUGGUAACAGAUCUCCCUUAACAGAUCUGACACUAAAGGGCAUGGUUGUUGGACUAACAUUGUCUCAGGGUCUGGAUGAACUUGCCCUUAUCUACUUGGCCACGAUUCAAGCCAUUGCUUUAGGAACAAGACAUAUUUUGGAAACUAUGCAGGCUGCAGGGCAUCAUAUCAACACACUGUUCCUGUGUGGUGGGCUGAGCAAGAACCCUCUCUUUGUGCAGAUGCACGCUGACAUUACUGGCAAGCCUGUUGUCCUCUCCAAAGAAGUGGAGUCUGUUUUGGUGGGUGCUGCUAUUCUUGGAGCCUGUGCUUCUGGGGAUUUUGCAUCUAUACAGGAGGCCAUGGCGAAAAUGGGGAAAGUUGGGAGAGUUGUGCAGCCCAACCAUGAGCAUAAAAGAUUUUAUGACAAGAAGUACGAAGUAUUUUUGAAGCUGGUGGAACAUCAGAGAGAGUAUCGCUCCAUCAUGAACAGCUUCUGACCUGGAGUCACAGAAUCUGGGAACAGCAGGCAGAGUGAAUCUCCAGCUACUCGUGAUGAGGGUAAUGUCUUCUCACUGUACCGUCCAUGCCAAAAAACCACUUUUAUCAUUUAAAGUGUAUAUUUUAACUUUGAAUGAGAAAUAAAAUGCACUCACUGGCUGUGAAGCACUGGGUGUUUUCUGUCGAUAAUCCCUGCACCUCGGGACAAGGAAUGACCAUUUGCCCCAGUCAGAGGAGACCAGACAACCAGCUGCGGGUGCCCCAGUGCUGUAUUCAGACUGGCGAUAAGCAGGAACAGUGCAAGGAACACUCUAACUGAUUUGGAUGGACUUGAAUCGCUGCCCUUUGCCAUGUUUUUCAGAGGUAACUACACCUGGCACCACACAUGGUCCUUUAAGAUCACUGUCUGCUCCAGCUAAGACCCAAACAUGAAUUCCAAUGGAAAAUUCUGUUUGUUUUUCUAAUUCUUACUCUGAUUAUAGUACUUCUUUGGUGGCUGAUAUUUGAGAAUCACUUUUGCAGCUGUGCAAUCUUUUUCUCUCUGUUUUCUUCAGUUUCCUGCUCUCUUUUUUCCUGUCUCCGUUCUUGCAGCACAGUCAUUCUGCUGUCAGUACUUGGUGUCAUUUUGUCCCUCGCCCUCCGUGCGCAGUGAUUGCUGUGCCAAUGUCAAAUGGCCCAUUGCUGACACUGAAAGACUAGGCUGAGCAGACACAGUUGCUGAAAAUAUGUUCCUAAUGCAGGUGCAUUCCUGCCAUCGUGCCAGCUGCCUCGCAGGAGUCAGCCCUGAAACAUCCCAGCUCCCCCUGUCAGUCCUCAGCACACUGCUCCAGCCAGACCCAGCUCAGAGCAUCUACUCAGUCACCAGCUCUGAGCUGGACACAACAGCAGGUGGUUUUGAAGGUUGUCCUGGAUAGUUAACUGGGCUGUGGAAGAAGAGUCUGGACACUCUGGUUGUAUACAGCAGAAAUGUUUCAUCUCUGACAGUACAAAUUGCUUUGAUCUUGCAAGAGCCAAAUGCUGCCAGUGCCAUCAGUGAAAUGCUCUUAGAAAUUCUUUCUUUCUCUGCCAUUUGUCUGUUACUUCUUAAUAAGAGAUCCUAUUCUGUUUGAAAAGCAAAGCCAGGAUCCCCAGCUGAAGGAGAGAGUUAAGAAGCAAGGGGGGACAGAGCAGAAGAGCAUAUUCAGAUCAACUACAACUAUGCAACAGGUCACUCAGGAGAAUCCUUCUUUUCUUCAAACUGCCACCCUCUUGGUGUACCUGCAUUGUGCAAGAGAAACAACCUCUGGUCCCUUUCCACGGAGUCAGUGUUCCUGUAGAUGGGCUCCAGCUUUAUACACUCAGCUUGAUAGAAAUUCCAUUCUGUAGUAUUGGCAUAGGCUGUAAUUCCCAGUUAAAUGCAAACAGAAGUUACACAAUAACAAAACUACACUUGGAGAACUUGGAAAAUAAUAGUUACUGGGUUGAUUUUUUUUAUGUUAGUAGUCAGCACUCAAAAACAUCUGGUAAUUUUUUUAAAGGAACAAUGCACUUCCUGCCUUGUAGUUCAUGGAAAAGCAAUUGUUGCCAUUUCCAAAGUACCCAUUGUUAAGAGAAACAGCUUUACAAGUUCAGGGACAUAAUUAAAGACAAUGAAAGUUGAUGGGAAUAAAAUGAAGAAACAGCAUAACAAGAAGGGUAUAACAAGCAAGAAAACGACUACAGCAUAAUGGUGUAUCAUAGCUUACAAGUCAAAGGCACAAUAAAACAUGUCAGCUGAAAAUACAUAGAAGGAAAAAGCAGUUGGAGACCAAUGUAUUGUGAACAAUAAAUAUUCAUAAAUUUUAAUGCAUUUAUUUUAAUAUACAAUUCAUAUGUAAAACGAAGUCCACUGACUCCAAACACAUAGCAAAUGUACAGAUUACAGGGACAGAUGUAUAGGGGGGUCUGGCACUGCACCAGCCUUUUUAACUCUUUGCAGCUCAACACACACAGACAUGCACACACACCCCCCCCCAACUUCAGCUACCUUUCCGUAACCUUCCUGCUAUUUUUAUCAUAGAAUCAUCAACAAACCAGCCUUGACCUCUCUGGCUGAACUGGCACAAGACUUACACUCCUUCAAUCACAAGGAGUGUAUGAAGUCUAGAAAGGAAACAAGCUGUCAUGCUGACUUUGUUGAAGCUCAAAGGCACAGAGUUCAAAAGGAAGCGAUGUACCUUGCAUAAGCUUAUAUGAAAGAGGGAUUUGUUCA
This is an RNA transcript of Strigops habroptila (Kakapo), 5265 nucleotides long. It is a transcript of the gene named FGGY carbohydrate kinase domain containing, with no coding region annotated. The transcript is spliced from 17 exons. Lineage: Eukaryota; Metazoa; Chordata; Aves; Psittaciformes; Psittacidae. The record is from RefSeq and is a predicted model, not a curated record.